CAAGUACUCCCUCGGUCCAGAAUUACUUGUCAUCAAAAUGGAUGUGUCUAGAACUAAAAUACAUCUAGAUACAUCCAUUUCAAUGACAAGUAUUUUCGGACGGAGGGAGUACAAG
Molecule: non-coding RNA, 115 nt
Organism: Triticum aestivum (bread wheat)
Lineage: Eukaryota; Viridiplantae; Streptophyta; Magnoliopsida; Poales; Poaceae
Source: Rfam